RNAcentral lists this ribosomal RNA (107 nucleotides) under Ochotona princeps (American pika). Lineage: Eukaryota; Metazoa; Chordata; Mammalia; Lagomorpha; Ochotonidae. The record is from RNAcentral.
GUCUACGGUCAUGCCAUCAUGAACGCGUCCGAUCUCGUCUGAUCUCGGAAAAUAUAUUUGGGAGUCAGAAAAUUAAUUCAAAGGAGGUAAAAAUAUUAGCUGUGUCA